UAAGUGCUUUCUGUUAGGAUAA
This 22-nucleotide microRNA is filed under the name Sarcophilus harrisii (Tasmanian devil). Its description in RNAcentral is "Sha-Mir-430-o12_3p (mature (guide))". The record is from RNAcentral. Lineage: Eukaryota; Metazoa; Chordata; Mammalia; Dasyuromorphia; Dasyuridae.